GUGAACGCUGGCGGUAGACCUCACCCAUGCAAGUCGAACGGCAGCACAGUAAGAGCUUGCUCUUACGGGUGGCGAGUGGCGGACGGGUGAGGAAUACAUCGGAAUCUACUUUUUCGUGGGGGAUAACGUAGGGAAACUUACGCUAAUACCGCAUACGACCUACGGGUGAAAGCAGGGGAUCUUCGGACCUUGCGCGAUUGAAUGAGCCGAUGUCGGAUUAGCUAGUUGGCGGGGUAAAGGCCCACCAAGGCGACGAUCCGUAGCUGGUCUGAGAGGAUGAUCAGCCACACUGGAACUGAGACACGGUCCAGACUCCUACGGGAGGCAGCAGUGGGGAAUAUUGGACAAUGGGCGCAAGCCUGAUCCAGCCAUACCGCGUGGGUGAAGAAGGCCUUCGGGUUGUAAAGCCCUUUUGUUGGGAAAGAAAAGCAGCAGGUUAAUACCCCGCUGUUCUGACGGUACCCAAAGAAUAAGCACCGGCUAACUUCGUG
Molecule: ribosomal RNA, 491 nt
Filed under: uncultured bacterium
Lineage: Bacteria
Description: partial 16S ribosomal RNA
Rfam family: Bacterial small subunit ribosomal RNA
Source: RNAcentral